GAUGAACGCUGGCGGCGUGCCUAAUACAUGCAAGUCGAGCGAACGGACGAGAAGCUUGCUUCUCUGAUGUUAGCGGCGGACGGGUGAGUAACACGUGGAUAACCUACCUAUAAGACUGGGAUAACUUCGGGAAACCGGAGCUAAUACCGGAUAAUAUUUUGAACCGCAUGGUUCAAAAGUGAAAGACGGUCUUGCUGUCACUUAUAGAUGGAUCCGCGCUGCAUUAGCUAGUUGGUAAGGUAACGGCUUACCAAGGCAACGAUGCAUAGCCGACCUGAGAGGGUGAUCAGCCACACUGGAACUGAGACACGGUCCAGACUCCUACGGGAGGCAGCAGUAGGGAAUCUUCCGCAAUGGGCGAAAGCCUGACGGAGCAACGCCGCGUGAUUUAUGAAGGUCUUCGGAUCGUAAAACUCUGUUAUUAGGGAAGAACAUAUGUGUAAGUAACUGUGCACAUCUUGACGGUACCUAAUCAGAAAGCCACGGCUAACUACGUG
Molecule: ribosomal RNA, 497 nt
Filed under: uncultured bacterium
Lineage: Bacteria
Description: partial 16S ribosomal RNA
Rfam family: Bacterial small subunit ribosomal RNA
Source: RNAcentral